AUUGGCUACAUAUCCAGAUGGUCUGACGUCACCACCACGCUAAAUCUUUCCCAGUGUUAUAAAUAUGGCGAAGCAGUUAACAAAACCUGCACCAAACUUUGGGUCCUUUCUGAACCUCUUCCCGGAGGCAGGCUGCGUCUGGAAAAAAGAGCAAUGAACCCUUCUUCCAGAACACCAGGCAAUAAUACAAAGGCCUGGAGACCUUUUAUUCAGUGUACACCUAAAUAAGUUGUAGGGCUUCCUGGACAUCCUUCAGAAGCAGCCAAAUCUCUACAAGAGUCUCUCAGUGCACAGUGCACAGUGAACUUGGAGGAGAGGAAGAAGAUGGACAAGUGGAGCUAUCCAGUCGAACAGUUUUCACUGUCCCUAAAGUUAUGCUAUGGGUCAGGGACAAGUAUUUAUACAAAUCAUUUUUAAAUGUUGGCCUUAGACACUCACUGUAAAUAAGACAAAUAAAACCCAAUAGUUUACCCUUUUGACCUCCAUACAGCAAAGCGGCACAUCCCAAAUUAUGCUGAGCUGCAGGUCACCAGUCUAUGGUCCAUGAAGUGUCAGUCAUGAUGCAGCAUGGUGCAUUGUCCAGAAAAUGUUCGAAUUUUCAAACUAGUUUUCAUUGGGACGGCAGAUAAAGCAAUCGCUUACAUGUGAACAAAGAAUCCUACUCAUUACUCCACCUGCUUAAUUGCAUCACUUGUUUUUGUUACAUAUUGUAUCACAUGACAUUCUGUUGAUUUGUAUCUAUUUGAAUGUUUAUUUUCUGUCAAAAGGAUUACCUUUUCCCAUAGUUAAAGAAUUGGCUUAAUGACUGCAGCUCUUUGUAUUCAAACACUUCCAUUUUAGUCAUUUAAAUAAAUGUUGUCCAUAGUGUGGUGGUAGAAUGUGGUGAGCUGGUCUGUAGCCUAUUCUGUGUUGGACUGUGAUUUGCCUCUCAGACUCCUGGUAUGUCUGCACCCUAACACAAUGCAAUUGUGUUCUGGAACUGUUGCUUGUAUAAAUAACUUGUGUAGCAAUAGGAUUGUAUCAUCUCAUUAUAUAAGGGACAUGUAACCAUUUACUCUUUGAGUUUUUCCCAGUGAAAUCAGAGAUAUACCCUGCAGCUCAUUGAUUAAAGAUUUUUCUAUUAUACAA
Oncorhynchus gorbuscha (pink salmon) is the source of this 1128-nucleotide long non-coding RNA. RefSeq lists it as uncharacterized. The transcript is spliced from 2 exons. The record is from RefSeq and is a predicted model, not a curated record. Lineage: Eukaryota; Metazoa; Chordata; Actinopteri; Salmoniformes; Salmonidae.